AACAGGAUUAGAUACCCUGGUAGUCCACGCCGUAAACGAUGUCGACUUGGAGGCUGUUCCCUUGAGGAGUGGCUUCCGGAGCUAACGCGUUAAGUCGACCGCCUGGGGAGUACGGCCGCAAGGUUAAAACUCAAAUGAAUUGACGGGGGCCCGCACAAGCGGUGGAGCAUGUGGUUUAAUUCGAUGCAACGCGAAGAACCUUACCUACUCUUGACAUCCAGAGAAUUUAGCAGAGAUGCUUUAGUGCCUUCGGGAACUCUGAGACAGGUGCUGCAUGGCUGUCGUCAGCUCGUGUUGUGAAAUGUUGGGUUAAGUCCCGCAACGAGCGCAACCCUUAUCCUUUGUUGCCAGCACGUAAUGGUGGGAACUCAAAGGAGACUGCCGGUGAUAAACCGGAGGAAGGUGGGGAUGACGUCAAGUCAUCAUGGCCCUUACGAGUAGGGCUACACACGUGCUACAAUGGCGCAUACAAAGAGAAGCGACCUCGCGAGAGCAAGCGGACCUCAUAAAGUGCGUCGUAGUCCGGAUUGGAGUCUGCAACUCGACUCCAUGAAGUCGGAAUCGCUAGUAAUCGUAAAUCAGAAUGUUACGGUGAAUACGUUCCCGGGCCUUGUACACACCGCCCGUCACACCAUGGGAGUGGGUUGCAAAAGAAGUAGAUAGCUUACCCUUCGGGAGGGCGUUUACCACUUUGUGAUUCAUGACUGGGGUGAAGUCGUAACAAGGUAACCGUAGGGAACCUGCGGCUGGAUCACCUCCUU
Molecule: ribosomal RNA, 761 nt
Filed under: uncultured bacterium
Lineage: Bacteria
Description: bacterial SSU rRNA
Rfam family: Bacterial small subunit ribosomal RNA
Source: RNAcentral